Molecule: unclassified non-coding RNA, 254 nt
Filed under: Hevea brasiliensis (rubber tree)
Lineage: Eukaryota; Viridiplantae; Streptophyta; Magnoliopsida; Malpighiales; Euphorbiaceae
Source: RNAcentral
CACAGCAGCCCAUGAAGAACCUGAAUCAAACCAUACAUCCAUUGUAUCCAUCCCUUUUUCAUAGUCUGAUGCUCUAUUGCGAUACUUUUCAGGAAGUAGGUCCUCCACUUUCAUAUACCACCAUGCAUCACUACCCUUCUGGGCAAUUAUAGACUUAAUAUGAUCAAUAGUCUCUGCAUUCAUAAGGGGUUCCUUUGACUCCACAUGAUAAAAGACUGGAAUGGGGACACCCCACGUCCUUUGCCUUGAUAUGC